This 496-nucleotide ribosomal RNA is filed under the name uncultured bacterium. RNAcentral's name for it is "partial 16S ribosomal RNA". It matches the Rfam family "Bacterial small subunit ribosomal RNA", at positions 28 to 507 of the family's 1533-position model. The record is from RNAcentral.
GAUGAACGCUGGCGGCGUGCCUAAUACAUGCAAGUCGAGCGACCAGACGAGGAGCUUUCUCCUCUACCGUUAGCGACGGACGGAUGAGUAACACGUGGAUACCUACCUAUAAUACUGGGGUAACUUCGGUAAACCAGCGCUAAUACCGGAUCCUAUCUUCCACCGGAUGGUUCAAUAGUGAAAUACGGUUUUGCUGUCACUUAUAGAUGGAUCCACGACGCAUUAGCUAGUUGGUGAGGUAACGGCCUACCAAGGCAACGAUGCGUAGCCGGCCUGAGAGGAUGAUCAGCCACACUGGAACUGAGACACGGUCCAGACUCCUAAGGGAGGCAGCAGUGGGGAAUAUUGGAGAAUGGGCGCAAGCCUGAUCCAGCCAUACCGCGUGGGUGAAGAAGGCCUUCGGGUUGUAAAGCCCUUUUGUUGGGAAAGAAAAGCAGCAGGUUAAUACCCCGCUGUUCUGACGGUACCCAAAGAAUAAGCACCGGCUAACUUCGUG